RNAcentral lists this ribosomal RNA (561 nucleotides) under Fusarium phaseoli. RNAcentral's name for it is "SSU rRNA". It matches the Rfam family "Eukaryotic small subunit ribosomal RNA", at positions 1163 to 1801 of the family's 1831-position model. Lineage: Eukaryota; Fungi; Ascomycota; Sordariomycetes; Hypocreales; Nectriaceae. The record is from RNAcentral.
GGCACCACCAGGGGUGGAGCCUGCGGCUUAAUUUGACUCAACACGGGGAAACUCACCAGGUCCAGACACAAUGAGGAUUGACAGAUUGAGAGCUCUUUCUUGAUUUUGUGGGUGGUGGUGCAUGGCCGUUCUUAGUUGGUGGAGUGAUUUGUCUGCUUAAUUGCGAUAACGAACGAGACCUUAACCUGCUAAAUAGCCCGUAUUGCUUUGGCAGUACGCUGGCUUCUUAGAGGGACUAUCGGCUCAAGCCGAUGGAAGUUUGAGGCAAUAACAGGUGAGUACCUCCUUGGCCGAAAGGCCCGGGUAAUCUUGUUAAACUCCGUCGUGCUGGGGAUAGAGCAUUGCAAUUAUUGCUCUUCAACGAGGAAUCCCUAGUAAGCGCAAGUCAUCAGCUUGCGUUGAUUACGUCCCUGCCCUUUGUACACACCGCCCGUCGCUACUACCGAUUGAAUGGCUCAGUGAGGCGUUCGGACUGGCCCAGAGAGGUGGGCAACUACCACUCAGGGCCGGAAAGUUCUCCAAACUCGGUCAUUUAGAGGAAGUAAAAGUCGUAACAAGGUC